Molecule: RNA transcript, 3147 nt
Organism: Vitis riparia (riverbank grape)
Lineage: Eukaryota; Viridiplantae; Streptophyta; Magnoliopsida; Vitales; Vitaceae
Gene name: disease resistance protein SUMM2-like
Exons: 2
Source: RefSeq, a predicted model, not a curated record
UGUCCCCAGUUUUCAGAUUCUCAUCUUUCUUCGCUUGAAUUCCAGUAUUCAUCUUUAUCCUUCCACUGCAACCCGUCCCCAGUCCCCAGUUUUCAGAUCCUCAUCUUUUCUUUGCUAGAAUUCCAGUAUUCAUCUUUACCUCUCCCACUGCAACCCGUCUCCAGUCCCCAGUUUUCAGAUCCUCAUCUUUUCUUUGCUUGAAUUCCCACUCUUGUUUCUAUGGAGUUUGUGAGUUCAAUCCUGGAAAUCGUCAACCGCUUAUGGGAUUGCUGUGAUAAGCGUGCUGUUUACAUCCGUCAACUCCCGGAAAAUCUCAAGUCUUUGAGAGAAAAAAUGAAGGAACUCAAUAAUGAGUAUAAAGAUGUGAAGGAAAGGGUGGAAAAAGCACAGAAACUUCAGAAGGAGAUUAAACAUGUAGUGGCUGGCUGGAUCCACGACGUAGAAUCCAUGGAAGGAGAAGUGAACGAAAUGUUGACAAAAGGAGAAGAAGAAAUCAAGAAGAGAUGUCUCGGAACCUGUUGCCCCAGAAACUGUCUCGCCAGCUACGAGCUUGGAAAGAUGGUACCUGAAAAGAUUAAUGCUGUGUCUCAAUUGUGCAGUAAGGCAGAGAGUUUCCAAGAGGUGGCUGCCCCUUCGCCUACACUUCGAGUGAUCGAGCUGCCUUUGGCCGAAACGGUGGGGUUGGAUUCCUUGUCUGAGAAGGUAUGGAGAUGCCUGCAAGAUGACAAGGUGAGAACUAUUGGAUUAUACGGGAUGGGGGGUGUGGGGAAAACAACCCUCUUGAGAAGAAUCAAUAAUGAAUUCCUCAAAACCAGCUUUGAAUUUGAUAAAGUGAUUUAUGUUGUUGUGUCUAAACCGGCAAGUGUGGAAAAAAUCCAAGAAAUGGUUCUUUGUCAGUGUGACAUUCCUGAUAACAGAUGGAAAAGUGGGGCUAGGGGUGGAAAGCAAGAGGAAAUAUACAAUUUCUUUAAAACAAGGAAAUUUAUACUCUUGUUAGAUGAUAUAUGGGAGAAGCAAAAUCUCUUGGAUAUCGGGUUUCCUCCUCUGAAUGAUCAAAAUAAGUCCAAAGUAAUAUUUACAACGCGAUUUUUUGAUGUGUGCGAAGCUAUGGGAGCUGAGAAAAUUGAAGUGAAGUGCAUGAAACCCGAGGACGCCUAUGCUUUGUUUCGAACCAAUGUGGGAGAAUCAAUCAUAAAUUCUCAUCCAAGGAUACGCAAGCUCGCAAAUAGUGUUGUUAAAGAAUGUAAAGGCGUGCCACUUGCCCUCAUGAUUGCUGGAGGAGCAAUGAAAGGAAAGACGACUCCCCAAGAAUGGGAGAAAAAGCUAAAACUGUUGCAGACCUAUCCAUCAGAAUUCCCAGCUAUGGAGAAAGAUUUAUUUCGAGUUUUAGCAUUGAGUUAUGACAACUUAAGCACAGCCAACGUCAAAUCAUGUUUCAUAUAUUGCUCCAUGUUCCCGGAAGAUUGGGAAAUUCCUUACAAGCAGCUUAUAGAACUAUGGAUUGGGGAGGGGUUUCUCGAUGAAUGGCAUCACAUAGAUGAUGCACGUGCUAAAGGAGAGGAAAUUAUUGAACAAUUAAAGCUUGCAUGUCUGUUGGAGGGUGGCCAAUCUGAAAAGCAUGUAAAAAUGCAUGAUGUGAUUCGGUACAUAGCUUUGUGGUUGGCUCAUGAAAAUGGGAAGAAGAAGAACAAAUGCGUGAUAAAAGAGCCUGGCAGAUGGAUUGAAGGUCACGAAAUUGCAGAGUGGAAGGAGACCCAAAGAAUGUCGUUGUGGGAUAAUAGUAUUGAAGAUUCCACUGAACCACCGGAUUUUCGAAAUCUCGAGACUUUGAUUGCAUCAGGUGAGUCGAUGAAGUCAUUUCCAAGCCAAUUCUUCACACACAUGUCUGUCAUAAGAGUUCUGGACUUGUCAAAUUCUGAAUUGAUGGUGUUACCUGCAGAGAUUGGUAACCUAAAAACUCUGCAUUAUCUUAAUUUGUCAAAAACAGAAAUAGAGAGUCUCCCAAUGAAGCUCAAAAAUUUGACAAAACUAAGGUGCUUGAUAUUGGAUGAUAUGGAAAAACUUGAAACAAUUCCAGCUCAAUUGAUAUCAAGCCUUUCAUCUUUGCAGUUGUUCAGUCUUUAUGCUUCCAUAGGUUGGAAUGGAGACGGGGGAUUCCUCUUAGAGGAGCUAGCGUCCUUGAAACAUGUGAGUGACAUAUCUAUCCCUCUAAAAAGUGUCCUUCACACCCAAAUGUCAGUCGACUCCCACAAGUUAGGAAGGAGCAUAAGAAGGCUAAGCCUACAAGACUGCACUGGUAUGACUAAAUUGGAACUUUCCCCUUACCUUCAGAUUCUUCAAAUAUGGAGAUGCUUUGAUUUGGCAGAUGUGAAAAUCAAUCUGGUAAAGGGAAGGGGACAAGAAUUCUCCAAACUUUCCGAAGUGGAGAUAAUUAUGUGUCCAAAAUUGCUGCACUUGACAUGUCUUGCUUUUGCUCCAAACCUUUUGUCUCUCCGUGUGGAAUACUGCGAGUCAAUGCAAGAAGUGAUGACAGAAGAUGAAGAGAUUGGAAUUUCAGAAGUUGAACAAUGUUCAGAUGCAUUCUCAGUACUCACAACUCUCAGUUUAUCUUAUUUAUCAAAUCUAAGGAGUAUAUGUGGAGGAGCUCUGUCAUUUCCUUCCCUAAGAGAGAUCACUGUGAAACACUGUCCAAGGCUAAGGAAGCUGACAUUUGAUUCCAACACCAACUGUUUGCGUAAAAUCGAGGGAGAACAACACUGGUGGGAUGGGUUGGAUUGGGAAGAUCAAACCAUUAAGCAGAAACUCACUCAAUAUUUUGUGCCUAAAUGAAGGUGAUGAUAUAUUGGGGGCGCCUCACCCAGUUCGUCUCUUUUUCCUUUCAUCCCCUGGUUUUUUUUUUCUUUCCCUAAGAAAAUGGUUCAGAAAACCGUUUCAAGAAUCUCAAAUUAUGGACGUGGAACAUGAAUUAUGGAGUGGCUUGUUUUGGUCAUGUAUUGCUUAUCCAAAAUUGUAGACUACAUAUAUGUCUCUUAUUGACCUUGUUGUGCUUUCCAUGUAAAUUUUUAUUUUUUUUGUUUCAUUUGUAACUUUAAGGUGAAUGACAAGUGGUAUCAUAUUAAGAUUGUGCUUGCUAAUGUAUGUAUUCCA